GAGGGAACUCAGGAAGGAGACAAGGAAUGCCUGCCAUCUAGCAGCCAUCAGACUGCAGCCACCCCAAGCUGGGGCAUCCUGAGGAAGCGCAGAAUGAGAAAACACAGGGUACUAGCCUGGAGAGCUGAACUGCAUAUCGAAGGAAAGAUUUCAAUUCUUCCCUUUGGCUCCCUCCUGCUCUCUCACUUCCCAGUGGCUGCUGACUGAGCCUGGAUUGUGGACUAGAAAGGGAAGGCUGCCAGGUUCCUCUGUCUAUGGGGAUUCUUCAAGCAAGAAUACUGGAGUGGACUGCCAUGCCCAACAAAAGCUGGCAUCGAGUGGACAGAAAAUGCAGGAUCUUGCAUUGUGGGGCUAGGUGCCAGUGCAGACAAAUGAUCAUCACAUAGGGAACAAGUUGUUCUAUGUACUUCAAGUAACUUCUCUCAUUCCAGUGAAUAAAGCAAAAAAAAAAUCAAGCUAGCACAGAGUGUAUCUAGAGACAAACAACUGAGUGGCAGUGCCAGAAGUAGAAACUGCACAAUGAAGCAAUGACAAUGUCAAAAAAGUGCCCAUCGCAUGGAUACCAUGCUGUACAACCAUUCAGAAAUUAUUAGGAGGAUCACAUGGUUUUCUAGCCAAACAUUUGCAAGUCUCUGUCACAUGUGAAAUUUUUAUAAAGACUGGUCUUGUUAUGAAACCCUUGGAGACGGGGUCUCUGUACAGAGAAAAUAAGACUGAAGGAUGACCUUCGCAUCCCCGUGGAGACUUCUUGGUUCCAGGCCAGAUCUGCAUGCGGACCUGAGCACGCUGGCUGCCCCAUAGCUCCCGCAGUCCUACAGGGGCUUCUGUCCCUAGGCUGUUUACCAGCAGCACCACAUCCCUCAUCCUGUCCACGCAGUUCUAUGGAAACUUUACGGUAUGUGUAAGUAUUUUAUUUAUU
RNAcentral lists this long non-coding RNA (919 nucleotides) under Capra hircus (goat). Its description in RNAcentral is "lncRNA (ENSCHIG00000007319.1)". The record is from RNAcentral. Lineage: Eukaryota; Metazoa; Chordata; Mammalia; Artiodactyla; Bovidae.